AUACUGUGAAACUGCGAAUGGCUCAUUAAAUCAGUUAUAGUUUAUUUGAUGAUACCUUGCUACAUGGAUAACUGUGGUAAUUCUAGAGCUAAUACAUGCAAUUAAGCCCCGACUUCUGGAAGGGGUGUAUUUAUUAGAUAAAAAACCAACGCGGCUCGCCGCUCACUUGGUGAUUCAUAAUAACUUCUCGAAUCGCAUGGCCUUGCGCCGGCGAUGCUUCAUUCAAAUAUCUGCCCUAUCAACUUUCGAUGGUAGGAUAGUGGCCUACCAUGGUUUCAACGGGUAACGGGGAAUAAGGGUUCGAUUCCGGAGAGGGAGCCUGAGAAACGGCUACCACAUCCAAGGAAGGCAGCAGGCGCGCAAAUUACCCAAUCCCGACACGGGGAGGUAGUGACAAUAAAUAACGAUAUAGGGCUCUAUCGGGUCUUAUAAUUGGAAUGAGUACAAUUUAAAUCCCUUAACGAGGAUCAAUUGGAGGGCAAGUCUGGUGCCCAGCAGCCA
This 501-nucleotide ribosomal RNA is filed under the name Agaricales sp. RNAcentral describes it as "SSU rRNA". It matches the Rfam family "Eukaryotic small subunit ribosomal RNA", at positions 76 to 576 of the family's 1831-position model. Lineage: Eukaryota; Fungi; Basidiomycota; Agaricomycetes; Agaricales. The record is from RNAcentral.